UCAGGGAUGUGAGGUUCUUACUGCAGAGCAAUGAGCUUUAACCCUUCACCUUAUUACUUAAAAAAAAAAAAAACCUUUCAACUGAUUUUAAAAUAUCACACUGCUAUGACAGCUUACAUAUUUAUCACAUUUACAGUUUCAUCUACGGUCUAUAACAUACAAGAACUUCUUAGUGGUUUUACAGCAAUCGGGCACUUUUUAUAAAAUUCAAGAGCUUUUAUUGCAUGUUUCCACUGGUAUUUUGAUGAUUAAUCUGGCGAUUAAUCUUCAGGCUGAAAGGCAUCACUGAUCUUCACGUUACAUUAAUUCUUUACAUGGUGUGUCAUCCUCUAACAUGUUGAUAAAAUUCAAAGAUUGCAUUAAAUCUCAAUGAUUUUUAAUAAUUUUCAGCUGAGCUGGAGAAGGUGGGCGACACACUUUCUCAUCCUAGGUUUGAGCAACUUUUCUAAUAAUAAUAAUAAUUUUCAGAAACUCACAAAAAACAAAAUUCUAAUUUAAAGCUCAAACCGGAUUGUUAAUUUAAUCCAAACAUGUUGUAGAAGAGUUCAUGGGAAAACAUCUUAUCCUUUUAUGCAUCUUCUCAGUAAAAAUCAAUGUUAAACCACAGCUUGGGAUUUGAUUCAACAACAUGCUGUUUCAUUUCUCACCAUGAGGUGGCAGUAUCUUCACAGUGUGUGGUGAUAACUCACAAGCAGAAAAAUGCAUUAAGGCCCCGCCCACUCAAAGAAGAAUAGACAUUGCAGAAAUACGAUGUGAGUAUUCAGUAGGUGUUCAUCGUAGGCAACAGGACAUCCUUAAAGUGAGCCAUGAAAUACCACAUGAUAAUUACAAGCUUUUGUUUAACAUUUAUGUUCACAAGAGUUUCAGGCGCUUCACUCAGUGACGAAGUUCAUCAGACUCCAUCUGACUUGUACAAAAAACUGGAGCAAACAGCACAAAUCGAUUGCUCGCACAACAUCAGCAACUACGAUCGGAUCUUGUGGUACAAACGGACGGCGGACAGGCAGAUGGGGUUCCUAGGAUACAUGUUAGCAAACAUCGGCUAUCCGGAGGAAGGAGCGAAGGUAAAGAUCGACGGGAACGCCAACAAGGGCCAGACCUGCAGGCUGACGAUAGACGGGCUCAACGUGAACAGCAGUGCAGUUUACUUCUGCGCUGCCAGUUACCACAGUGCAACAUGCAAAAAGCCCUCAGGGCAAAAACCUCUAGCUUUUGUUUCCCCGUCUCUCAGGUCCAUGCACCUGUCUUCUCUAACCAGUUUAUCAAGCUUUGGAUCUUUUUGUUGA
This is a non-coding RNA of Poeciliopsis prolifica (blackstripe livebearer), 1286 nucleotides long. Lineage: Eukaryota; Metazoa; Chordata; Actinopteri; Cyprinodontiformes; Poeciliidae. The record is from the annotation of a RefSeq genome assembly.